UGGGGAAUAUUGCACAAGGGCGAAAGCCUGAUGCAGCCAUGCCGCGUGUGUGAAGAAGGCCUUCGGGUUGUAAAGCACUUUCAGUUGUGAGGAAAGGGAUGUAGUUAAUAGCUGCAUUCUGUGACGUUAACAACAGAAGAAGCACCGGCUAACUUCGUGCCAGCAGCCGCGGUA
Molecule: ribosomal RNA, 174 nt
Filed under: uncultured bacterium
Lineage: Bacteria
Description: partial 16S ribosomal RNA
Rfam family: Bacterial small subunit ribosomal RNA
Source: RNAcentral